UUGAAGUCUUUCAUUGAUCAUGGAAGACGACCCGGAGCCUGACAUAGCAUUUCAUAUCUUUCAAAAUUUUCAAUGUUUCUUAAAAAUGGAUGGUACAGGGAAAAAAAAGGCUGAACAAGCGUUCCAAUCUUGCUACAGCAUCAUUGGAGCUGUUAUUAGUUCUAGCCAUUGGAGUAAUUUGAGCCAAUGUCGAAAAAGACAUUGGAGCAAAAAGCCUCCAUAUUAUACGCUUCUUUGAAUGAUGAAGAGCCAUAGAACAAGGUUGGGUUGCCGAAGAGGUUGGAGCAAUACAAGUUGUGGGGUGUCCACGUCUGUAUGUUUCUAGCUUCAGUUGGCACAACAUAGUUUCUAUACAAGUUCAUCAAGAUUGUUUGGAUGAGUCCAAGCUCAGUUGCCUCAUCAAAACAGCAAUAUGAAAAGGAGUGUAGCCACAAUUAGGCAACAAGAAACCAUGCAUGAUCUGGCCGAAGGAUUUCAGCAUGGAUUUCUUUAGCCUAAGCUAAUCUUGCAAGGCGAGUUAUCAGGUCUUUUAAGGAAGUGGGUUGACAUCACUUUCAAAGAGACUUGAUAUGUUGCUGUUUGGGGAAAAUAGUUGAGCUUGGAGAUUCAUCCAACAACUCCGAUGGAUUUCUUAGGGACUGUGGAGUUAACUGAAGUGAGGGAUACUGAUGCAUGAUCCCGCAGCCUCUUGGCCUCUUGAUCUUUUACUACUUCAUCAUUUGAGAAGCGCUAGCCAUGGAAUCCUAUAAAACAGGCUUCUCAGUGGGUAUUGCAUGAUUCUCAAAAUUUGAUUGAAAUUUCUACCAUGAUUCAACAUGUCUAUCCAGCCAGUUUCGAAGGCUGAAAGCUUAUCUACGCCUAAGAUCUCUACGACUGAUCAAUUUCCUCCUAGCUUUUCACAACCAUGCAAUCAAGUUAAAUGGUCGGUUUAACUCUAUAGUGUACAUACCAAAGAAAAAUUCCAAUCCGUUGUAAAGGAAUACAUCAAAAAAUCAGAAUACACAAAUUUUGUUCAUCAGAGGUGGCAAGAAAAGAUGUCGGACCAUAUUAUACUAUCAAUGAAAAUUUUCUUAAAAAAAUUUCUUAUAGUGUUACUUUAAGGUUGUUGGGUUGCAUUAGAAUCAAAACUGUUUUUAAUUAAAGUUGUAAUCACCUGUUUAGUGGACUUCAAACAC
Molecule: non-coding RNA, 1175 nt
Organism: Theobroma cacao (cacao)
Lineage: Eukaryota; Viridiplantae; Streptophyta; Magnoliopsida; Malvales; Malvaceae
Source: RefSeq, a predicted model, not a curated record